This 1319-nucleotide long non-coding RNA is filed under the name Nicotiana benthamiana. RNAcentral's name for it is "long non-coding RNA (NBEN_LNC028428)". Lineage: Eukaryota; Viridiplantae; Streptophyta; Magnoliopsida; Solanales; Solanaceae. The record is from RNAcentral.
AAAAAAGAUUUUGGUUUAGUCUUCCAACCUCAAAGUUAAUUAGCCCCAAAUUCAUGAUCCAAUUUCCUUCAAGUCCAAAAUAUUGAACCCAUAUUUAUUACCUAUUUGAUCUAACUUAAUUCCUACCCCUAUAAAAUAACGCUAGCCCAUAAAAUCAAGAUAGAACUUAAAUCCCAAAAAGAUCUAGGCAGUCGUUUCCUCUAAAAGAUCCCAUCAAAUUUUGAGGUGACCUUCAUCUUCACCAUACACACGAGAGAGACCAAGAAAACAUAAGCCUCCUCUUAACUUUUCAAUUUUCUCUUUUAAUUGGGAAGGAGACUAGCAACUAACACCACAAAAUGACCCCAAAAAUCAGCUCUGAAGAACUCAUCAACAACCACUAAAACCAGCCAAAAAUGUGCCAAAACAGCCCUGUUUUCACCACCAAAAUACAGCAGCAAAUAGUCUUAAUAUCAACACUUCAUACUCAGCAAGAACAGCUCUAUUUUCAGCCAUAUCCCGGAAAAAAUUCCAGCCAAAAACUCUAAGAAAGGUUGCUGAAAAUCAGUCCAAACAAUCAACAAAAAUAAAUUAUUUUUGCACAAAAAACGCAGCUGAAAUUCCCAUAAAAAUAGCUCCAAAGAAGUGGCAGGAAACACCUGCUAAAAACAUUCCAAAGUCAGGUCACAUCUAGCUUCGAAAUCCCAUGAAAUAAGCUAAAAUUCCAACUCCAGAUCAGCCCAAAUCAUCCCCAAAACACCUCCGAACCCAGCUCCAAAACAGCUCGCUUCCGUCUUUUUCGACCCAGUUGAAAUUCGAACUCAUAGGUCAGCCGAGGUCUCUGUUGAGGUUCGCUCGUCAAGCUCGGUUCUAGUUUGCUGCUAAUUGCCGCUUUGAGGUUGUACUCAGAUGUUUAUUCUCAAAUAAAAGUUCGAAUGGAAACUAUCCAAAAGGUUCAUUUUUCCUCUUUACUAUUAUUUUUGUUCAUUUUAUUUUCUGUGAUUUUGGUUUGUGAGGCAAUGCGUUUUUGGAUUACUCGUUUGUUUACGCCUUUUAAAUAAGCUUUAGUCCUUUUCAUUAUUUUGUUUGUGUCUUAUUUUUAUUUUUUUUGGUUCUUAGUUUUUCUUUUUUAAAAAGAAGACAAAUGUAUUGUGUUUGCUUGUGUAGCAGAUUAUUGGGGAUCGAUUUGCUGUACACAUUUAAUGCCUUGUAUGAUUAAAUUAGAAAUAGACGUAGGUUUGAACAUAUAUAAAUCAGAUUUGGGCAAAUGACAAGAUUCUACAAAGCCCAUAAUAAUAAAAUUCAUAGGCUAGCCUACCUUUUUCUAUAAUUAAUUUAUC